RNAcentral lists this small nuclear RNA (288 nucleotides) under Erinaceus europaeus (western European hedgehog). Its description in RNAcentral is "7SK RNA". It matches the Rfam family "7SK RNA". From Rfam's summary of the family: 7SK was discovered as an abundant small nuclear RNA in the mid-70s but a possible function has only recently been suggested. Two independent studies have found that 7SK RNA binds the CDK9/cyclin T complex (known as elongation factor P-TEFb). The record is from Rfam by way of RNAcentral. Lineage: Eukaryota; Metazoa; Chordata; Mammalia; Eulipotyphla; Erinaceidae.
GGAUGUGAGGGCGAUCUGGCUGCGACAUCUGUCACCCCAUUGAUCGCCAGGGUUGAUUCGGCUGAUCUGGCUGACUAGGCGGGUGUCCCCUUCCCUCACCGCUCCAUGUGUGUCCCUCCCGAAGCUGCAUGCUCGGUCGAAGAGGACGGCCUUCCCCGAAUAGAGACGGACUGGUCUUCGGUCGAGGGUAUAUGAGUAGCUGUUCUCCCCUGCUAGAACCUCCAAACAAGCUCUCAAGAAUAUGGGGUUGCUGGGAGAUAGCUCACAUGGUAGAUCACACACUAUAUG